UACGAAGGGGGCUAGCGUUGCUCGGAAUCACUGGGCGUAAAGGGUGCGUAGGCGGGUCUUUAAGUCAGGGGUGAAAUCCUGGAGCUCAACUCCAGAACUGCCUUUGAUACUGAGGAUCUUGAGUCCGGGAGAGGUGAGUGGAACUGCGAGUGUAGAGGUGAAAUUCGUAGAUAUCUGUAGGAACACCCGUGGCGAAGGCGGCUCGCUGGACCGCAACUGACGCUGAGGAACGAAAGCUAGGGGAGCAAACAGG
RNAcentral lists this ribosomal RNA (253 nucleotides) under uncultured bacterium. Its description in RNAcentral is "partial 16S ribosomal RNA". It matches the Rfam family "Bacterial small subunit ribosomal RNA", at positions 524 to 776 of the family's 1533-position model. The record is from RNAcentral.